Molecule: small nuclear RNA, 107 nt
Organism: Eptesicus fuscus (big brown bat)
Lineage: Eukaryota; Metazoa; Chordata; Mammalia; Chiroptera; Vespertilionidae
Source: RefSeq, a predicted model, not a curated record
GUGCUCACUUUGGCAGCACAUAUGCUAAAAUUGGAACACUCCAAUGAAGAUUGGCAUGGUCCCUGUGCAAGGAUACCAUGCAAAUUCAUGAAAUGUCCCAUUAUUUU